UUUUUGGGAGACUCGAUGGCUGGUUGGUCACACUGACACCUGGAUUAAAAAUAGGAUCCCUGUACCCUUAUCCUCAGCAUCACUACCCCCACCAAUUGAGAGUCAGACAAUUGUCACGUGACCCAACCCGUCUUUAAAAAUUCUGGAGUUUGGAAUGUACGGAUACACUGGGAAAGAAUAGCUAUAGAAACAUUGACCCUUUCCAGCUUGCUUCUUCAGUUGCAGGUCCAUAUCUGAAGAUGUCUGACACAGAGGAAGUAAUUGAGGAGUAUGAGGAGCAGGAAG
Long non-coding RNA from Acipenser ruthenus (sterlet), 285 nucleotides. RefSeq lists it as uncharacterized. The transcript has 3 exons. The record is from RefSeq and is a predicted model, not a curated record. NCBI's taxonomy places the organism in Eukaryota, Metazoa, Chordata, Actinopteri, Acipenseriformes, Acipenseridae.